RNAcentral lists this long non-coding RNA (541 nucleotides) under Homo sapiens (human). RNAcentral's name for it is "non-protein coding lnc-CFAP77-2:1". Lineage: Eukaryota; Metazoa; Chordata; Mammalia; Primates; Hominidae. The record is from RNAcentral.
UAUCUUGUAAGGAAAAUAAAACAGGGUGACGUGAUGGAGAGUGACUAGGGGACGGUGGGUGCUACUUUAGAUGUAAGAGAGGGCUCACUGAGGAGGUGACAUUUGAACUGAGUUCUAAAUGGAAAGGGCAGGCAAAAAAUCUAGGCAGAAGAGUGUUCCAGGCUGGAAGUGAGUGCAAAAGUCCUGAACUUGGUUGCUGGAGGACCUGGGACAAGGCCAGAGCAGCUGGAGCACAGAGUGAAUCCACACAGUGAACCCACAGGGUGACAGACAGGUCGCACACGCCCAGCCUAAGUGAAUGCAUGUGAAUGCAGGGGAGGGGGUGGGAGAGGAAGUCAGAGGUCUGCAGGGGCUAUCUGGUGCAGAGGCUGAUGGAUGUUAAGCUUGGAUGAAGUCUCAGAAGUUUAGAGUUAGCAGGAGCUUUGGAGAUCUAUCCCAGUCUUCCCAUUUCAACAGAGUCCUGAAGAGACUUAGCCAAAAGGGCAGCUUUAACCUGGCCAUCAAUUCGAGGCCAUUAUAUUUACCAACCAAACGUUUAACC